AUACGGGGGAUCCGAGCGUUAUCCGGAUUUAUUGGGUUUAAAGGGUGCGCAGGCGGCCAUUUAAGUCAGCGGUUAAAUCGUGGGGCUCAACCCCAUUCUGCCGUUGAUACUGGGUGGCUUGAUUGCGGUCGAGGUUGGCGGAAUUCGUUGUGUAGCGGUGAAAUGCAUAGAUAUGACGAAGAACACCGAUUGCGUAGGCAGCUGACCAGACCGCAAAUGACGCUCAUGCACGAAAGUGCGGGGAUCGAACAGGAUUAGAUACCCUGGUAGUCCGCACAGUAAACGAUGAAUACUUGUUUUCGGCGAUAUAAUGUCGGAGGCAAAGCGAAAGCGAUAAGUAUUCCACCUGGGGAGUACGCCGGCAACGGUGAAACUCAAAGGAAUUGACGGGG
This 392-nucleotide ribosomal RNA is filed under the name uncultured bacterium. Its description in RNAcentral is "partial 16S ribosomal RNA". It matches the Rfam family "Bacterial small subunit ribosomal RNA", at positions 523 to 918 of the family's 1533-position model. The record is from RNAcentral.